This 253-nucleotide ribosomal RNA is filed under the name uncultured bacterium. RNAcentral's name for it is "partial 16S ribosomal RNA". It matches the Rfam family "Bacterial small subunit ribosomal RNA", at positions 524 to 776 of the family's 1533-position model. The record is from RNAcentral.
UACGGAGGGUGCGAGCGUUAAUCGGAAUAACUGGGCGUAAAGGGCACGCAGGCGGGCUUUUAAGCGUGAGGUGAAAUCCCCGGGCUUAACCUGGGAAUAGCAUUUCAGACUGGUGGUCUAGAGUACUUUAGGGGGGGGUAGAAUUCCACGUGUAGCGGUGAAAUGCGUAGAGAUGUGGAGGAAUACCGAAGGCGAAGGCAGCCCCUUGGGAAUGUACUGACGCUCAGGUGCGAAAGCGUGGGUAGCAAACAGG